RNAcentral lists this unclassified non-coding RNA (2077 nucleotides) under Leishmania donovani. Its description in RNAcentral is "gene:unknown". Lineage: Eukaryota; Euglenozoa; Kinetoplastea; Trypanosomatida; Trypanosomatidae. The record is from RNAcentral.
GACUGACGAGGGGCCUCACAAAUACAGGAAGCUACUCAAGAACGGAGCUGGAGAUGGGGGACGGUGCUCAGCGAAACUGUGCAGUAACCGUCAGCGUUCAAGGGUGACGGUGGCUCGCACGCUCCGACAACACAAGUGCAAGCGCUCAAUGUACCCACCUUCAAGCCAGAAAACCUUGCUUGUUGCUGUUGCCUACUGCUUCGCUUUUCUGGCGCUCCUCACCGGCGUCGCCCUCUAACUUCACCACAGCAGCUGAACACAGCCCGUGAGGAGGCAUCGAGCUGCGUGAGCACGGAGCCGCUGCAGUGCCGGGCCGGACGGUGCAAGAGGAGCGAGUAGAGUCUAUCGAGGCAAUACCCGUUCCACUGCCCUCACCCGAAGCCCGCCAAGACCCAUCAUCAGCUUGUCGUGAGGAAAAAGACAUAUCGGCACUUUCGAACUCCGGCGCCUUCGCUGAGGCAGCGGAUGCGCGCACGAUGCCCAGCACGCGCUUCAGCAAGGCUGGCGGCGCGCCGCUAGAAUGGUACGUCAUGCUCUUCCGUGGCGCGACACUUUCAAGGUGCGCGCAUUCACCCGCCGGCUCUGGUCAGAACGAAGCCUGUGGCAACGGUGUGUGGGAGUAGCAAGCGACUCGAGACAACCAGAAAGACCCAAACACAGACCACAUCUACGGUGAAUAUCUCGUGGCAGUGUGCAUUUCACUUUACGUACUGAGCACCCGCCAAACACGGCAGCAUUGCGACCUCCCACCCAAGCGGUGAGGAAAGCAGCUCAACCGUGGGUGCAUUUGUCGGAAUGCCAGCCGCACGGCUGGAAAGAUCCCAACCGUAAGACGGGCAUUGAUUACAUUACCUACGGGUGCGCUCCUCACCUGGCCCCCUGAACGCACUACCCGCAAUGAUGACGGAGCGGUGUUAUUGUUGUUUUUCAUCUCUUGGCCGUUUUCGCAUUCUCGGUGCACACCCUUGCGAAGCGUUCGGCGGUUUUUUUUUGAGGUUUUCCGAGGCUUGUUCGCCUGAUGGCGGCGAACCUCACCACCAACGUGCGUGGUAUUUCAGGGUCCAGUACUUCCACUCUGUGUGUGUGUAUCUGUGAGGAGGCCAGGCAGCACCCUAUCUUUCUCUAUAUUCCUGCCAAAAUGCCGAACCACCUCUGGUGUUGGCAGGGUCAAGCACCUACAACGUGGAUGUGGACAGAGCAAUGUAUCGAUACUAAUAUCGGCGAUCAGGUUCUGGAUAACAUGGCGUCGGAGCGGCCUGCGACAAUGAAUACGCUUUUACCAUGGAUGUGAUGGGUGAACUGCCAGCGUGACUCGAAUGCACACCACCUGGCCCUCACACUGCUUCCUGGGGGUGAGGCUGAUCUACCCGGCGAGGGAUGCACGAGGCGUGGUGACUGGCAGAAUGGGGGAGCGGCUGUGAGGCGACCUGCGGCGAGGGGGCGGGCAGAGCUUCAGGCAGAGGCCAUGCUCCGAUGACUGAGUCAGAGGAUUGCUGCAACGUGUGUCUAGCGCUGCUUUGCACCCCGCGAGUUGGGGGGCCUUUGGCAGGGCCGGAGAGGGAGUCGAGUGGAAUCUCCUUCACGCUAUACGGCAAAGAGCUGGGUACGCUUAGACAAAAAAACAAAGCCGGUCACAGCCGGGGACCGGCUCGAUCACUCGCCUUCCGAUGAAGGGGAUAAAAUGGUAGCAUGCGGAAACAGAGAGAGACUUGAUAGCUGUCAUGCACGGCUCGAAGCAUGACAUUCACCUCAAUAAGAUUGGGGAAAAACAGAAAUGCAGGUGCUGCACACGACCUGGCGGGGGGGGGUGAAUACGGUGGCGGUGAUAUUUCACCUCUGGCGCCGACUGAAUCCCAACGCAGGCACACAAAAAAAAAUGUAUGAGCGAGCCCACAACUUUGUGUGCACGACACCCCCCACCCCACCUGUGCAGUCUCGCUGGGCAAAAAGACACGCGUAGAAAGGAAAAAAGAGUCGAUCGCGCCCCCACCUACGACGCCAGUAGGGCGCCCUUUUCAGCUUUAUGUAAACUUCGUCGUACGCCACGUCUGGAUCGCGGUGAGUGCCGCCUUAACUC